RNAcentral lists this ribosomal RNA (468 nucleotides) under uncultured bacterium. RNAcentral's name for it is "partial 16S ribosomal RNA". It matches the Rfam family "Bacterial small subunit ribosomal RNA", at positions 28 to 507 of the family's 1533-position model. The record is from RNAcentral.
GACGAACGCUGGCGGCGUGCUUAACACAUGCAAGUCGAACGGAAAGGCGCUGCUUUUGUGGGGUGCUCGAGUGGCGAGCGGGUGAGUAACACGUGAGUAACCUGCCCUUGACUUUGGGAUAACUUCAGGAAACUGGGGCUAAUACCGGAUAGGAGCUCCUGCUGCAUGGUGGGGGUUGGUAAGUUUCGGCGGUUGGGGAUGUACUCGCGGCUUAUCAGCUUGUUGGUGGGGUUGUGGCGUACCAAGGCUUUGACGGGUAGCCGGCCUGAGAGGGUGACCGGCCACAUGGGGACUGAGAGAGGCCCCAGAAGCCGACGGUAGGCAGCAGUGGGGAAUAUGGCACAGCGGGCGGGCGCCUGAUGCAGCAGCGCCGCGAGCGUGAUGACGGCCUUCGGGUUGUGAACCACUGUCGCCUGUGACGAAGCGGGAUUGACGGUAACUGGUAAAGAAGCACCGGCUAACUACGUG